Molecule: ribosomal RNA, 497 nt
Filed under: uncultured bacterium
Lineage: Bacteria
Description: partial 16S ribosomal RNA
Rfam family: Bacterial small subunit ribosomal RNA
Source: RNAcentral
GAUGAACGCUGGCGGCGUGCCUAAUACAUGCAAGUCGAGCGAACGGACGAUAAGCUUGCUUCUCUGAGGUUAGCGGCGGACGGGUGAGUAACACGUGGAUAACCUACCUAUAAGACUGGGAGAACUUCGUGAAACCGGAGCUAAUACCGGAUAAUAUGUUGAACCGCAUGGUUCAAAAGAUAAAGACGGUCUUGCUGUCACUUAUAGAUGGAUCCGCGGUGCAUUAGCUAGUUGGUAAGGUAACGGCCUACCAAGGCAACGAUGCAUAGCCGACCUGAGAGGGUGAUCAGCCACACUGGAACUGAGACACGGUCCAGACUCCUACGGGAGGCAGCAGUAGGGAAUCUUCCACAAUGGGCGCAAGCCUGACCGAGCCACGCCGCGUGAGUGAAGAAGGUCUUCGGAUCGUAAAGCUCUGUUGUUAGGGAAGAAAAUAUGUGUAAGAAACUGCGCCCAUCUUGACGGUACCUAAUCAGAAAGCAACGGCUAACUACGUG